Molecule: non-coding RNA, 68 nt
Organism: Podarcis lilfordi (Lilford's wall lizard)
Lineage: Eukaryota; Metazoa; Chordata; Lepidosauria; Squamata; Lacertidae
Source: the annotation of a GenBank genome assembly
GAUAGCUCAGUCGGUAGAGCAUGAGAUUCUUAAUCUAAGGGUUGCGGGUUCGAGACCCACGUUGAGCA